Molecule: ribosomal RNA, 730 nt
Filed under: bacterium IMCC8640
Lineage: Bacteria
Also listed under: 1 other name
Description: bacterial SSU rRNA
Rfam family: Bacterial small subunit ribosomal RNA
Source: RNAcentral
AUUGAACGCUGGCGGAAUGCUUUACACAUGCAAGUCGAACGGCAGCAUAGAGAGCUUGCUCUCUGAUGGCGAGUGGCGAACGGGUGAGUAAUAUAUCGGAACGUGCCUAGUAAUGGGGAAUAACUAGCUGAAAGGUUAGCUAAUGCCGCAUACGACCUACGGGUGAAAGCAGGGGAUCUUCGGACCUUGCGUUAUUAGAGCGGCCGAUAUCUGAUUAGCUUGUUGGUGGGGUAAUGGCCUACCAAGGCGACGAUCAGUAGCUGGUCUGAGAGGACGAUCAGCCACACUGGAACUGAGACACGGUCCAGACUCCUACGGGAGGCAGCAGUGGGGAAUUUUGGACAAUGGGGGCAACCCUGAUCCAGCCAUUCCGCGUGAGUGAAGAAGGCCUUCGGGUUGUAAAGCUCUUUCGCAAGAGAAGAAAACUUGCUAUCUAAUAAAUAGUAAGUAUGACGGUAUCUUGACAAGAAGCACCGGCUAACUACGUGCCAGCAGCCGCGGUAAUACGUAGGGUGCAAGCGUUAAUCGGAAUUACUGGGCGUAAAGCGUGCGCAGGCAGUUUUAUAAGUCAGAUGUGAAAUCCCCGAGCUCAACUUGGGAACUGCGUUUGAAACUGUAAGACUAGAGUGUGUCAGAGGGGGGUAGAAUUCCAAGUGUAGCAGUGAAAUGCGUAGAGAUUUGGAGGAAUACCAAUGGCGAAGGCAGCCCCCUGGGAUAACACUGACGCUCA